Molecule: ribosomal RNA, 581 nt
Filed under: uncultured eukaryote
Lineage: Eukaryota
Description: bacterial SSU rRNA
Rfam family: Eukaryotic small subunit ribosomal RNA
Source: RNAcentral
GCUCGUAGUUGGAUUUCUGGGAGGCGCCAAUGUCCGCUCGUUCGCGUGUGCAGCGGCGCCCUUCCUCCUUCUGUUAACGCUUCUUGGUAUUCAGUUACUGGUAGCGGGCUCAGAUAUUUUACCUUGAGAAAAUUAGAGUGUUCCAGGCAGGCUUGCGCCGGGAAUACAUUAGCAUGGAAUAAUAGAAUAGGACUUUAGUCUCCUUUGUUGGUUUGAGGGACUGAAGUAAUGAUUAAUAGGGAUAGUUGGGGGCAUUAGUAUUUAAUUGUCAGAGGUGAAAUUCUCGGAUUUGUUAAAGACUAACUUAUGCGAAAGCAUUUCCAAGGAUGUUUUCAUUAAAUCAAGAACGAAAGUUAGGGGGAUCAAAAGACGAUCAGAUACCGUCCUAGUCUAACCCAUAAAACUAUGCCGACAAGGGACCGAGGCGCGCUUUAAUCCGGCUUCGGGACCUUAUGAGAAACCAAAGUCUUUGGGGUUCUGGGGGGGAGUAGGGCCCCAAGGUGGAAAACUUAAGGAAAUGGACGAAGGGCCCCCACCGGGAGUGGAGUUGCGGCUCAUUUUGACUCACACGGGGAAAACUU